This 246-nucleotide unclassified non-coding RNA is filed under the name Hevea brasiliensis (rubber tree). Lineage: Eukaryota; Viridiplantae; Streptophyta; Magnoliopsida; Malpighiales; Euphorbiaceae. The record is from RNAcentral.
UUUUUCUCUUCGUCUAUCCUGUAUUUCUCUCUCUUUGUUUUUCAAUUUUUAUGUUUCCUUGAAUUCAAUUAACCUUGCGACUAUGUUGUUAAUCUUCUGCGAUCCUGUCGGCUGUUUGGUUCACGAGAAACUAUAGGAAAAAAUAAAAAAUAGGACAAAAUUUUUUAAUUUCAUGUUAUUUUGUUGCUUCGUAAUUUUGGCUCCUGAAAAACCUAAAUUUGAUUUUUUUUUUUUUCUUAUCUUUUG